Molecule: long non-coding RNA, 1129 nt
Filed under: Elaeis guineensis (African oil palm)
Lineage: Eukaryota; Viridiplantae; Streptophyta; Magnoliopsida; Arecales; Arecaceae
Description: long non-coding RNA (EGUI_LNC019450)
Source: RNAcentral
UGUAGUAAUGAGUCCUUCUUACUGAAUUUGUUACAUAUUUAAUGCCACCCUGCAGGUUUAAGGACAUGCCAGAAAUCCAGAUUCGAGGCUGCAGAAAUCUUGUGAGUUGUCUCCAAUUGCUUAGCAUUAUUGGCGCAUUCAAAUAUUUUAGUAUUUAACAUGUAUGAAUGAUGUUUAUGAUGACAUGGCUGCAUUUCCACCGAAUAAGAGCGAAGGUCCGUUAUGCAUGGGCUUGGAAGAACCAUGAUGGAAAUGUAUAGAAUGAUUUCAUAGCUCGAGUUCUGCACUUGUGAAUUUGUGUAUGUAUUGCCGGAGUCAAAAGUAAUUUUGGUAAGUUAUGGAUCUAUAACUUUUGAAAACUAGAGUAGGAAUGAUAUGUUCUAGUCACCAUGUGUAAUUCCUUUCCCUGUAUUUUCAGGUUGUCAGUCUCUUGGUUUAAUUUCACCAAUACUGUUAUAUAUGCCUAUAGUAAAUUUGUUGGCUUGUCAGGAUAAAAAUCCCUAUCUCUAGAUUUCUAUAUAAUCAACUCUAGCUUUAUUUUUACCCAUCCACUAUGAUACAUGGUAAGAGCACAAGACUUGGUAGUUCUACAAUAUGCAUUUUGAAUGUGGUUCCUUCCCAUAUCGAGGGUUUCAAGUGCAUUCUGAACAAGAGAAGAUUUUGCGUUCAUUUUGGUUGAAUGUAACCACAAUCCUGAACUCUGACUACCUGUGCUUAUUGAUAAACCUUCUGUAACAAUUUAUUUGGUGUGAAUUGUUCUAUAUAAUUCUUCGGUUAUUUUUUGCUUUAUCUGUUGAUUAUCAAGUCUUUAUAUUUUGAAAUUGUUUUUUUCCCCUUUCAAACAUCAUUGCCAUGUGGUCUAUAGUGUUCAGCUCUAAGGUAUCACUGAUUGAAAUGGCAGUUCCAAUCCUUGCAACUGUGAUAGGGUGUCUGGUUGCUAGUCUCAUGGCUUUUCUUAACGGGGAAUAGCUUCUGUAUCUGGGGCUUUUGGCAAUAGCAUCCCGUGAAAGUCUUUCUUUUGUCAAUAACCAACUUAUUAUCUAGUUUAAAUAUGCGACCUGCACUGCCUGUGGUACACAAAAUAUUUCUCUUUAUUUUUCUAGUUGAGCUCCAGUACAUCAUUGGUCCG